AGACCCGAAACCCGGUGAUCUAGCCAUGGGCAGGUUGAAGGUUGGGUAACACUAACUGGAGGACCGAACCGACUAAUGUUGAAAAAUUAGCGGAUGACCUGUGGCUGGGGGUGAAAGGCCAAUCAAACCGGGAGAUAGCUGGUUCUCCCCGAAAGCUAUUUAGGUAGCGCCUCGUGAAUUCAUCUCCGGGGGUAGAGCACUGUUUCGGCUAGGGGGCCAUCCCGGCUUACCAACCCGAUGCAAACUGCGAAUACCGGAGAAUGUUAUCACGGGAGACACACGGCGGGUGCUAACGUCCGUCGUGAAGAGGGAAACAACCCAGACCGCCAGCUAAGGUCCCAAAGUCAUGGUUAAGUGGGAAACGAUGUGGGAAGGCCCAGACAGCCAGGAUGUUGGCUUAGAAGCAGCCAUCAUUUAAAGAAAGCGUAAUAGCUCACUGGUCGAGUCGGCCUGCGCGGAAGAUGUAACGGGGCUAAACCAUGCACCGAAGCUGCGGCAGCGAACGUAUCACCCAAGACAACUUUACGGAGUUGACGAUUGACGGAGCGAAGCGACGUCAAAGCGUUCAUUAAAGUCGAGUUGGCUUAGGGAUACGUUCGUUGGGUAGGGGAGCGUUCUGUAAGCCUGUGAAGGUGUGUCGUGAGGCAUGCUGGAGGUAUCAGAAGUGCGAAUGCUGACAUAAGUAACGAUAAAGCGGGUGAAAAGCCCGCUCGCCGGAAGACCAAGGGUUCCUGUCCAACGUUAAUCGGGGCAGGGUGAGUCGACCCCUAAGGCGAGGCCGAAAGGCGUAGUCGAUGGGAAACGGGUUAAUAUUCCCGUACUUGGUGUUACUGCGAAGGGGGGACGGAGAAGGCUAUGUUGGCCGGGCGACGGUUGUCCCGGUUUAAGCGUGUAGGUGUGUGUUCCAGGUAAAUCCGGUUCACUUUAACACUGAGGCGUGACGACGAGGCACUACGGUGCUGAAGCAACAAAUGCCCUGCUUCCAGGAAAAGCCUCUAAGCAUCAGGUAACAUCAAAUCGUACCCCAAACCGACACAGGUGGUCAGGUAGAGAAUACCAAGGCGCUUGAGAGAACUCGGGUGAAGGAACUAGGCAAAAUGGUGCCGUAACUUCGGGAGAAGGCACGCUGACACGUAGGUGAAGUGAUUUACUCAUGGAGCUGAA
Molecule: ribosomal RNA, 1164 nt
Filed under: Salmonella enterica
Lineage: Bacteria; Pseudomonadati; Pseudomonadota; Gammaproteobacteria; Enterobacterales; Enterobacteriaceae
Also listed under: 1 other name
Description: partial 23S ribosomal RNA
Rfam family: Bacterial large subunit ribosomal RNA
Source: RNAcentral